AUACGUAGGUGGCAAGCGUUGUCCGGAUUUACUGGGUGUAAAGGGCGUGUAGGCGGAGAUGCAAGUCAGGAGUGAAAUCUAGGGGCUCAACCCCUAAACUGCUUUUGAAACUGUAUCCCUUGAGUAUCGGAGAGGUUAUCGGAAUUCCCGGUGUAGCGGUGAAAUGCGUAGAGAUCGGGAGGAACACCAGUGGCGAAGGCGGGUAACUGGACUGCAACUGACGCUGAGGCGCGAAAGUGUGGGGAGCAAACAGGAUUAGAUACCCUGGUAGUCCACACUGUAAACGAUGAAUGCUAGGUGUAGGAGGUAUCGACCCCUUCUGUGCCGCAGUAAACACAGUAAGCAUUCCGCCUGGGGAGUACGGUCGCAAGAUUAAAACUCAAAUGAAUCGACGGGG
Molecule: ribosomal RNA, 397 nt
Filed under: uncultured bacterium
Lineage: Bacteria
Description: partial 16S ribosomal RNA
Rfam family: Bacterial small subunit ribosomal RNA
Source: RNAcentral